RNAcentral lists this ribosomal RNA (405 nucleotides) under uncultured Bdellovibrio sp. RNAcentral describes it as "bacterial SSU rRNA". It matches the Rfam family "Bacterial small subunit ribosomal RNA", at positions 355 to 774 of the family's 1533-position model. The record is from RNAcentral. Lineage: Bacteria; Pseudomonadati; Bdellovibrionota; Bdellovibrionia; Bdellovibrionales; Pseudobdellovibrionaceae.
UAGGGAAUAUUGCACAAUGGAGGAAACUCUGAUGCAGCGACGCCGCGUGAGUGAUGAAGGCCUUCGGGUCGUAAAGCUCUGUCGCAGGGGAAUAACACAAUGAAUGUACCCUGCAAGAAAGGAUCGGCUAACUUCGUGCCAGCAGCCGCGGUAAGACGAGGGAUCCUAGCGUUGUUCGGAAUUAUUGGGCGUAAAGCGGGUGUAGGUGGCUUUGUAAGUCAGGUGUGAAAGCCCAGGGCUCAACCCUGGAAGUGCAUUUGAUACUGCGAAGCUUGAGUGUAGGAGAGGUUACUAGAAUUCUUGGUGUAGUGGUGAAAUACGUAGAUAUCAAGAGGAAUACCGGCGGCGAAGGCGGGUAACUGGCCUAACACUGACACUCAGACCCGAAAGCGUGGGGAUCAAACA